CACGUAGGGGACGAGCGUUGUCCGGAUUCAUUGGGCGUAAAGCGCGCGUAGGCGGCUCGGAAAGUCGGUCGUGAAAUGCCGGGGCUCAACCCCGGGACUGCGUCCGAUACUUCCGGGCUGGAGGUAGGUAGGGGAGAUCGGAAUUCCUGGUGUAGCGGUGAAAUGCGCAGAUAUCAGGAGGAACACCGGUGGCGAAGGCGGAUCUCUGGGCCUUACCUGACGCUGAGGCGCGAAAGCUAGGGGAGCGAACGG
Molecule: ribosomal RNA, 252 nt
Filed under: uncultured bacterium
Lineage: Bacteria
Description: partial 16S ribosomal RNA
Rfam family: Bacterial small subunit ribosomal RNA
Source: RNAcentral